UCAACUGCAAACUGAGCUAAGGCUUGCUCUGUCUUUGAUUGCUGAGAGGGACUCUGAGGUACAGCGAGUUCGCACUACAAACAAUCAGUACGUGGAAGAGAAUGAAAGGCUCAGAGCUAUUUUAGGGGAAUGGAGCACAAGAGCAGCGAAGCUUGAGCGAGCAUUGGAGGUUGAGCGUCUGUCAAAUCUUGAACUGCAAAGGAAGCUGUCAACUGGAAGAAUUCAAUGAAAUGGAUCACCUGAACAAAGCUAGCAGCACACAGCUUAGUUGCCCUGAAACUUUCCCAUAUUGUCAUUUCUCGGGAUUUUUUAGUUCCAUGAGGACAAGAAGGAUCAAAGUGCCACUUUUACUGGAGUAGAUGGUCGAAUGUAUAUAAC
This 378-nucleotide unclassified non-coding RNA is filed under the name Hevea brasiliensis (rubber tree). The record is from RNAcentral. Lineage: Eukaryota; Viridiplantae; Streptophyta; Magnoliopsida; Malpighiales; Euphorbiaceae.